GAGUUUGAUCCUGGCUCAGAUUGAACGCUGGCGGCAUGCCUUACACAUGCAAGUCGAACGGCAGCACGGGAGCAAUCCUGGUGGCGAGUGGCGAACGGGUGAGUAAUAUAUCGGAACGUACCUUUCAGUGGGGGAUAACGUAGCGAAAGUUACGCUAAUACCGCAUAUUCUGUGAGCAGGAAAGCAGGGGACCUUCGGGCCUUGCGCUGAUUGAGCGGCCGAUAUCAGAUUAGCUAGUUGGUGAGGUAAAGGCUCACCAAGGCGACGAUCUGUAGCGGGUCUGAGAGGAUGAUCCGCCACACUGGAACUGAGACACGGUCCAGACUCCUACGGGAGGCAGCAGUGGGGAAUUUUGGACAAUGGGGGCAACCCUGAUCCAGCCAUGCCGCGUGAGUGAAGAAGGCCUUCGGGUUGUAAAGCUCUUUCGGCCGGGAAGAAAUCGCAUCAGCUAAUACCUGGUGUGGAUGACGGUACCGGAAUAAGAAGCACCGGCUAACUACGUGCCAGCAGCCGCGGUAAUAC
RNAcentral lists this ribosomal RNA (522 nucleotides) under uncultured beta proteobacterium. RNAcentral's name for it is "SSU rRNA". It matches the Rfam family "Bacterial small subunit ribosomal RNA", at positions 9 to 526 of the family's 1533-position model. The record is from RNAcentral. Lineage: Bacteria; Pseudomonadati; Pseudomonadota; Betaproteobacteria.